Molecule: RNA transcript, 666 nt
Organism: Pongo pygmaeus (Bornean orangutan)
Lineage: Eukaryota; Metazoa; Chordata; Mammalia; Primates; Hominidae
Gene name: chondrosarcoma-associated gene 2/3 protein-like
Exons: 4
Source: RefSeq, a predicted model, not a curated record
AUGUGGGUGUGCCUCAUACAAUCAGUUGAAGGUCUUAAAAGACCAAGGUUUCCUGGAGAAGGAAUUCUACCACAAGAUUGGAACAUAAAAACACUGUGUCAGUUUCUAGCCUGCUGGCCUGCCUACACUGUUAAAAUCCAAGCAUGGGGAGACCAGGCAGCCUGGAAUAGACAAUUGAGAGACGCUGGCGAAGAUGACCAGGAAACGACGAGCCUCCAGCCCAGUUUUGGAACAAUCACCGGCCAUCACCAAAAUGGCGAGGAAGAGGAAGGCCCCCUCUCAACCUAGAUCCAGAAGCCCUUUCCAGAUUCCCAAGACAACUAGGAAGGGAAAAAGAACCCUUCAAGGAAGUUCCAGGAAAAACGUCUCUCCCAAAAAGACCACUGCUUCAGGAAAACCUGAGGAAGGGAGUGGGCCAACAGUAUCCUGCCAUUGUGACCAGCUGAACGAGGAACUCCAUCAAAAUGAGCCACAGCUGGACCAAAACAGUGAGGAGACCUCCACCUUCUUCAGUGUCUCCCUGAGCAGUCAGUAAUUUCAGGGCAAGCUGAGAGGUCUCCAGAGGUCUAACCCCAGAUAAAUAGCCAACAGGGUCUAGAGUACAUUUUAUACCCAACAGGGUAUACCCCAUGGUGAUCAAAAUAAAAUAAACCUGUUGUAAAAUGA